UCCGUAGGCGGGCGACUAAGUCAGAGGUGAAAUCCCACAGCUUAACUGUGGAACUGCCUUUGAUACUGGUUGUCUUGAGUUUUAGUGAAGUAGAUAGAAUGUGUAGUGUAGCGGUGAAAUGCAUAGAUAUUACACAGAAUACCGAUUGCGAAGGCAGUCUACUAACUAACAACUGACGCUAAUGGACGAAAGCGUGGGGAGCGAACAGGAUUAGAUACCCUGGUAGUCC
RNAcentral lists this ribosomal RNA (229 nucleotides) under uncultured bacterium. Its description in RNAcentral is "partial 16S ribosomal RNA". It matches the Rfam family "Bacterial small subunit ribosomal RNA", at positions 568 to 796 of the family's 1533-position model. The record is from RNAcentral.